RNAcentral lists this ribosomal RNA (1365 nucleotides) under Geobacillus thermocatenulatus GS-1. Its description in RNAcentral is "bacterial LSU rRNA". It matches the Rfam family "Bacterial large subunit ribosomal RNA", at positions 1559 to 2925 of the family's 2925-position model. Lineage: Bacteria; Bacillati; Bacillota; Bacilli; Caryophanales; Anoxybacillaceae. The record is from RNAcentral.
AGCGGUGACGGCGACGGAGUCAUCCGGAAGUCCCCGAUUUCACACUGCCAAGAAAAGCCUCUAGCGAGGGAAGAGGUGCCCGUACCGCAAACCGACACAGGUAGGCGAGGAGAGAAUCCUAAGGCGCGCGGGAGAACUCUCGUUAAGGAACUCGGCAAAAUGACCCCGUAACUUCGGGAGAAGGGGUGCUCUUUGGGGUGAAGAGCCCUGAAGAGCCGCAGUGAAAAGGCCCAAGCGACUGUUUAUCAAAAACACAGGUCUCUGCGAAGCCGAAAGGCGACGUAUAGGGGCUGACACCUGCCCGGUGCUGGAAGGUUAAGGGGAGCGCUUAGCGGAAGCGAAGGUGCGAACCGAAGCCCCAGUAAACGGCGGCCGUAACUAUAACGGUCCUAAGGUAGCGAAAUUCCUUGUCGGGUAAGUUCCGACCCGCACGAAAGGUGUAACGACUUGGGCGCUGUCUCAACGAGAGACCCGGUGAAAUUAUACUACCUGUGAAGAUGCAGGUUACCCGCGACAGGACGGAAAGACCCCGUGGAGCUUUACUGCAGCCUGAUAUGGAAUUUUGGUAUCGCUUGUACAGGAUAGGUGGGAGCCUGGGAAGCCGGAGCGCCAGCUUCGGUGGAGGCGGCGGUGGGAUACCACCCUGGCGGUAUUGAAAUUCUAACCCGCACCCCUUAGCGGGGUGGGAGACAGUGUCAGGCGGGCAGUUUGACUGGGGCGGUCGCCUCCCAAAAGGUAACGGAGGCGCCCAAAGGUUCCCUCAGAAUGGUUGGAAAUCAUUCGGAGAGUGCAAAGGCACAAGGGAGCUUGACUGCGAGACGGACAGGUCGAGCAGGGACGAAAGUCGGGCUUAGUGAUCCGGUGGUUCCGCAUGGAAGGGCCAUCGCUCAACGGAUAAAAGCUACCCCGGGGAUAACAGGCUGAUCUCCCCCAAGAGUCCACAUCGACGGGGAGGUUUGGCACCUCGAUGUCGGCUCAUCGCAUCCUGGGGCUGUAGUCGGUCCCAAGGGUUGGGCUGUUCGCCCAUUAAAGCGGUACGCGAGCUGGGUUCAGAACGUCGUGAGACAGUUCGGUCCCUAUCCGUCGCGGGCGGAGGAAAUUUGAGAGGAGCUGUCCUUAGUACGAGAGGACCGGGAUGGACGCACCGCUGGUGUACCAGUUGUCCCGCCAGGGGCACCGCUGGGUAGCUAUGUGCGGACGGGAUAAGCGCUGAAAGCAUCUAAGCGUGAAGCCCCCCUCAAGAUGAGAUUUCCCACCGCGUUAGGCGGGUAAGAUCCCUCGAAGAUGACGAGGUCGAUAGGUCCGAGGUGGAAGCGUGGCGACACGUGGAGCUGACGGAUACUAAUCGAUCGAGGGCUUAACCUA